GAUACGACUUCAUCCAGUGAACUUCCGCAGCCAUGUGAUAGAUUCGGGAAACAUUUUCCACCAGAAACUCCCAUUUUGCAUCAUCCAACCCAAAUCUAAUCUCCUCUACAUGAGCCGCCCAUACAAUUAUAUUUUCACUCGAAAUUCGAAGACUAGGAACAAGUGAUAUUAACCUUUCUUUAGCAGCUUCAUCAGAGGACUCUCGAACUAGACAUACAACACUUAUAUUCAACUUUACUAGAUAUUCCAAAAAACGACGACCAAAAUAACCCGUUGCUCCAGUUAACAAGAAAUAUUGACCAUUGGUAGGCAGAAUACUUAACUUGGGAAUGGUACGUGAUAAAGCGCAUGCAUCUUCAUUUAAAAGUUCAUAGGUGAUUGACGAUACGUUGUAACUUUUCUUUUGAAUUAUAGAGGCUAUCGAGUUAGGGGUACAAUUUGAAUUCAUAUUGUAGCGAAUUGGGCCUUCAAGAUGAAAGUGGGAUUGAAUAGCAUGAAAAAAUCUCACAGAAUG
Schizosaccharomyces pombe (fission yeast) is the source of this 514-nucleotide non-coding RNA. NCBI's taxonomy places the organism in Eukaryota, Fungi, Ascomycota, Schizosaccharomycetes, Schizosaccharomycetales, Schizosaccharomycetaceae. The record is from the annotation of a GenBank genome assembly.